CCCUUAGAUGUUCUGGGCCGCACGCGUGCUACACUGACUGGUGCAUCAAGCCCCCUGGCCCGAAAGGUGCUGGGAAAUCUUUAAAUGCCAGUCGUGCUAGGGAUUGAUCUUUGUAAUUUUGGAUCAUGAACGAGGAAUUCCUUGUAAGCAUAUGUCACCAACGUGUGCUGAAUACGUCCCUGCCCUUUGUACACACCGCCCGUCGCUCCUACCGAUCGAGUGGUCCGGUGAACCUUUUGGACUAAUUACACUUUUGUGUGUUGGGAAUUUAAGUAAAUCUUAUCACUUAGAGGAAGGAGAAGUCGUAACA
Molecule: ribosomal RNA, 310 nt
Filed under: uncultured eukaryote
Lineage: Eukaryota
Description: partial 18S ribosomal RNA
Rfam family: Eukaryotic small subunit ribosomal RNA
Source: RNAcentral